This 485-nucleotide small RNA is filed under the name Microcystis aeruginosa. RNAcentral describes it as "bacterial LSU rRNA". The stretch from base 1 to 100 matches the Rfam family "Bacterial small subunit ribosomal RNA", at positions 1434 to 1533 of the family's 1533-position model. Lineage: Bacteria; Bacillati; Cyanobacteriota; Cyanophyceae; Chroococcales; Microcystaceae. The record is from RNAcentral. RNAcentral also lists the same sequence under 1 other name.
CUCAACCGCAAGGAGGGGGAUGCCUAAGGCAGGGCUAGUGACUGGGGUGAAGUCGUAACAAGGUAGCCGUACCGGAAGGUGUGGCUGGAUCACCUCCUUAAAGGGAGACCUAAUUCCAGUAGGAGACGAAAAAAAAGUAGUCCCUACCAAGAAUCAAUCCCAAAAGGUCGGAGCGAGGCAAAAUUGGCUUUCAAACUAGGUUCUGGGUUCACACAAGACCUGAAUCAGGAACAAGGGCUAUUAGCUCAGGUGGUUAGAGCGCACCCCUGAUAAGGGUGAGGUCCCUGGUUCGAGUCCAGGAUGGCCCACCUGCACAGGUGGAAGAAAGAAAAGAAGCUCCGAAUCAGCACCUUAUCUUACUUAUAUAGUAAGAGAGAAUGCUGGCUCUGAGUACAGAGUCCAGAGGAACCUUGAAAACUGCAUAGAGCUAGGUGAAAAAGCCAAAAAAGAAGACCGCAAGGUCAAGCUAAUAAGGGCUAACGGUG